CUGGAAAAGAAUAUCCUGAAAUCGGAAUGGGCAAGACAUCCUGAAAUUUUAGCAUUGUCUUACAUCCUAUAGAAGAAAUACCUUAGUCUGUCACAGUCAGCAUAUUGACUUUAAGUAUUCAAUAUCCCUUCAGUCAGCAAUAAUCAUGUUAUAAACCUUAUAAAAGCAUAAAAUACAUAUAAACAAGUUAACUAUUUAAUAUUCUUACAUUCCCCUCUUUGAGCAAUAAAACAAUUGCUCAUCUUAUCGAUAAAAUCUUACCAGGACAGAGAAACCUCCACAUGGUAUUUUCAGGGGUGCUAGUCACUCCCUGCGGGACUUUCAUUAAUUUCUUCACCUCGAUUCCCAUGUGGUAAUUCCUAAGGCCUAGUUUAAAAAUGGGUUGAUACUCUACAGUGGCAGAGAGGAGAAUUUCUAAUUGUUUCUGUUCUGCAUUAUGGAUUAAUUUCUGUACUCACUUCCUCAAUGUACAACUAAGGUGACAGUUAUAUAAAAUCAUACACAAUAAAAUCAGGACUAUAAUAACAAAAUGAUAGAAGAAUGAUUUCAUUAUCUGAGAUCCAGUAGGGGACCAACCAGUGAAGCAUCGUACCAAUGAUGGGCUAAAUCAUUCUGAAUUUGUGAACUCACCUUAAGGAGUUCUCCUUUUAGGAUAUGUGUGGCUACCUGUGUAUGUUAUCUUUGGGAAAAAUAUAGUCCCCUGUGUAUGUGGGUGCCCACCAGGUUAAAUUCUUGGCAAAAAGAUCAUAAACUGGUACUGGUAAUGUGUUAAAUUGACAAGCUAAUUUAACAUCCUUUGAUGAUGUAUGAUAUAAUGUAAAAUAGCAAGAGCAUGAAAAAUGUGAAACAUUACCAGUUAACCAUCCAUUGCAUUUACUGGAUUGGGGUUUUAGAAGUAACCAAUCAUUAUCUGUGAGGUUACACAUUCCUCUAAUCUUCUCUAGUUUAGGAAUCAUUAGUGUGUUUUCUAAUGCCAAUCCUUGUUGUUGUAUCCAUAAAUACCUGAUGGCACAAGUACUCCAGUUACUUAGACCUGUAGUGAAUUUCAUAGUUGCAACAGUUAAAUUAUCUAAAUAAUUAUACAUUGAUUUAUCUAAAUCCAAUCCUCUAACCUGUGAUUUAACAACAGUUGGAGCCCAGUUUGCAGUAGCAUGGAAACCAGUCCCUAUAUGCAUACUGGCUGUAUUUAACUUAUUCUUGAGGGUCUCCAUAUCUAUAACUAUUUAGUAUACCCAUAGUGGUUCCAGCACCAUCUAACAGUGUGUCAUACCAUUCCCUUUUCUGCCUUUUGUUUGUUGUGUUACAUAAUGUUACAACAAGAGUAGUGACUUUUAAUGACACAUGUACAGCUUGUAAGAAGGCAGUUGUAUUAACACAUGUGGAUGGAAUAGGUGUGUGUGUGUGUCGUGUUUGACUUUUGGUUCUAUGAUAGUGGAUGAAGGACAGUAAUAAGGUGUAAAAAUAUAAGAUAGUGUACAGUUCUCAAUUGCAGUGUCGUUCAUAAUGACUAACAUUUGUCCCCUUUUCCAAUUAAUGAUACCAGUUAUAUAAUCAUUAUUAAAAGUAAUAAGGCCUGUCUGUUUACAUUGAUAUGCAACCUUAACUGUGCACAUUUCUGCGUUAUAAGAUCUAACAAUUUUCUGUGAACCUUCAAACAAACAUAAUGCAAUGGUUUCAUUAGCUGUAGACACAUUUCAUAUGGGUAACUGGUACUUAUAAGGGUUACUAUUUGUCCAAUUCAUCCAAAUGCGUUCAGUAAAUGAAUGAUUGCAUAUUGCAUGCUGAUAGAAAGUUGGUGGAGAAAGGUUCUUGAGGGAGCGUGUGUGACGAAUGCUAGAUGAGGGGCUAAGGCCUAAUUGGGCUGGGGGUAUUGAAGAAUUGUUCAUCAUGUCAGAGUCUUUUUCCAGAAACAAACAGGUUUCAAACUUGCCAUUGACUUGUACUCAUAAUGGCAUUCAAUGAACAAUAUCAGAGGGAGUAUAACAACUCCAGAAAGCAUAGCACACAACAUAAUCUUGGUCUCAGGUACGUAUGAUCCUCUCAAUCUACGAUAUGGUGUAAAAGCCAUGAUGCUUCGCUGAGGAGAAAUUCUUCUGUUUCCGAGCGAGGAGUGGUGUUGUCUUCCUUGGUUCCCCUCUUUGGACACAGCUUCACUCGGGAUGCGUGAAUCCAGAUGUCAUGGGAAUCUGUGAGGACAGCGGUUCUGGGUACAGCAAUCACAGUAGCAGGUGGUCCAAAAGGGUAUCCUCCUUUCUUGGUCCUGUUCAGCUGACGGAUAUACACCUUGUCACCGGGCUGGUAUGAAUGAGUAGGUUCCUGUGAAGGUAAGGGAAAACUGCGAAGAAACAUUGUCAUACAUACCAUUCGGUUUUAUCAACAAUUCAUCUUGUGGGGAUAUAUUCUUAUCUCAGCUAAAAUAGCUGGUAGAUAUCUAGUCCAAUUUUCCCAUGUUCCUGGGUAAAUUCUGGGCUUUUCCUUAAUAGUCCUAUUCAUCCUUUCAACUACCCCUGUAUUCUGUGGAUGAUAGGGUAUAUGAAACUGCCAGGUAACUUGCAAGAAUUUAGCAAGUUCCUGGGCAACCCCACUUGCAAAAACCGGGCCAUUAUCAGAGCCAAUCUGCAGAGGGCAGCAAUACCGGGGAAUAAUUUCAGUAACAAUAAUCUUCACUAGCAUCUUCCCUAGAUGUCACAAAGGCCUCAUGCCAUCUACUAAACUGAUUAACUAUGACCAGUAAGUAUUGCUGUUUCUUACCAAUUUUGGAUACAUGAAUAAAA
RNAcentral lists this long non-coding RNA (2774 nucleotides) under Pelobates cultripes (western spadefoot toad). The record is from RNAcentral. Lineage: Eukaryota; Metazoa; Chordata; Amphibia; Anura; Pelobatidae.